RNAcentral lists this non-coding RNA (23 nucleotides) under Arabidopsis thaliana (thale cress). The record is from RNAcentral. Lineage: Eukaryota; Viridiplantae; Streptophyta; Magnoliopsida; Brassicales; Brassicaceae.
GGCGAUCUGUAAUUCCAAACCGG